UACGUAGGGAGCAAGCGUUGUUCGGAUUUACUGGGCGUAAAGAGCGCGCAGGCGGUCGUACAAGUCGCGUGUGAAAGCCCCCGGCUCAACUGGGGAGGGUCACGCGAUACUGUUCGACUCGAAGGCAGGAGAGGGAAGCGGAAUUCCCGGUGUAGUGGUGAAAUGCGUAGAUAUCGGGAGGAACACCAGUGGCGAAGGCGGCUUCCUGGCCUGUUCUUGACGCUGAGGCGCGAAAGCUAGGGGAGCAAACGGG
Molecule: ribosomal RNA, 253 nt
Filed under: uncultured bacterium
Lineage: Bacteria
Description: partial 16S ribosomal RNA
Rfam family: Bacterial small subunit ribosomal RNA
Source: RNAcentral